AGUGAACGCUGGCGGUAGGCCUAACACAUGCAAGUCGAACGGCAGCACAGUAAGAGCUUGCUCUUACGGGUGGCGAGUGGCGGACGGGUGCGGAAUACAUCCGAAUCUACUUUUUCGUGGGGGAUAACGUAUGGCAACUUACGCUAAUACCUCAUACGACCUACGGGUUAAAGCAGGGGAUCUUCGGACCUUGCGCGAUUGAAUGAUCCGAUGUCGGAUUAGCUAGUUGGCGGGGUAAAGGCCCACCAAGGCGACGAUCCGUAGCUGGUCUGAGAGGAUGAUCAGCCACACUGGAACUGAGACACGGUCCAGACUCCUACGGGAGGCAGCAGUAGGGAAUAUUGGACAAUGGGCGAAAGCCUGAUCCAGCCAUACCGCGUAGGUGAAGAAGGCCUUCGGGUUGUAAAGCCCUUUUGUUGGGAAAGAAAAGCAGCAGGUUAAUACCCCGCUGUUCUGACGGUACCCAAAGAAUAAGCACCGGCUAACUUCGUG
This 492-nucleotide ribosomal RNA is filed under the name uncultured bacterium. RNAcentral describes it as "partial 16S ribosomal RNA". It matches the Rfam family "Bacterial small subunit ribosomal RNA", at positions 29 to 507 of the family's 1533-position model. The record is from RNAcentral.